This 253-nucleotide ribosomal RNA is filed under the name uncultured bacterium. Its description in RNAcentral is "partial 16S ribosomal RNA". It matches the Rfam family "Bacterial small subunit ribosomal RNA", at positions 524 to 776 of the family's 1533-position model. The record is from RNAcentral.
GACGUAGGGCGCGAGCGUUGUCCGGAUUUAUUGGGCGUAAAGAGCUCGUAGGCGGCUUGUCGCGUCGAAUGUGAAAUCUCAGGGCUCAACUCUGACAUUGCAUUCGAUACGGGCAGGCUAGAGUUCGGUAGGGGAGACUGGAAUUCCUGGUGUAGCGGUGAAAUGCGCAGAUAUCAGGAGGAACACCGGUGGCGAAGGCGGGUCUCUGGGCCGAUACUGACGCUGAUGCGCGAAAGCUAGGGGAGCAAACGGG